RNAcentral lists this non-coding RNA (927 nucleotides) under Hemiphractus helioi. RNAcentral describes it as "partial 12S ribosomal RNA". It matches the Rfam family "Bacterial small subunit ribosomal RNA". The record is from RNAcentral. Lineage: Eukaryota; Metazoa; Chordata; Amphibia; Anura; Hemiphractidae.
UGGUCCCAGCCUUGGAAUCAGUUUUUACUUAAUAUACACAUGCGAGCCUCAACACCCCCGUGAAAACGCCCUUAAAUUUCCCAAAAGAAAUAAGGAGCUGGUAUCAGGCUCAACAGUCAGCCCAAAACACCUAGCUUCGCCACACCCACACGGGCAACAGCAGUGAUCAACAUUGAACAUAAGCGUCAGCUUGAUUCAGUUAAAGUAACAAGAGCCGGCAAACCUGGUGCCAGCCGCCGCGGUUACACCACAGGACUCAAAUUGAUACCUUCCGGCGUAAAGCGUGAUUAAAGAGCCACAAACUAGAGUUAAACUUAAACUAAGCUGUAGCACGCUUGCAUUAAAGAAGACCCUAAAACGAAAGUUACUCUAUUUAACCCAACUUGAACUCACGACAGCUAAGACACAAACUGGGAUUAGAUACCCCACUAUGCCUAGCCGUAAACUUUAAAUUACAUUUCCACCCAAUCGCCAGGAAACUACGAGCUAAGCUUAAAACCCAAAGGACUUGACGGUACCCCACAUCCACCUAGAGGAGCCUGUCCUAUAAUCGAUAAUCCACGCUCCACCUCACCAUUUUUAGCUUUCAACCUGUAUACCUCCGUCGUCAGCUUACCACGUGAGCGCAACCCAGUGAGCCUAAUGCCCAUACACCAAAACGUCAGGUCAAGGUGCAGUAAAUGAAAUGGAAAGUGAUGGGCUACACUCUCUAGUCUAGAAAAUACGAAAAACAUUUUGAAACCCAGUUAGAAGGCGGAUUUAGUAGUAAGAGGAAAUCAGAAUACUCCCCUUAACAGAGCACUGGGGCGCGUACACACCGCCCUGUCACCCCCUUCAAAGCCACAAGUCACUACUUAACCAGCUGAAAGGCUUACCAGAAGAGGCAAGUCGUAACAUGGUAAGCGUACCGGAAGGUGCACUUGGAAA